GUAACAAGGUCUCCGUUGGUGAACCAGCGGAGGGAUCAUUAAAGAGUUUACACAACUCCUAAACCCAUGUGAACUUACCUUUUGUUGCCUCGGCAGGUCGCGUUUACCCUGUGAGAGCCUACCCUGUAGGCUCUUACCUGGUGGACGCGGGCUCCCCUGCCGGCGGCCCGUUAAAUUCUAUUUAUUAUAUUAUUUCUGAAUCCAUAACUAAAUAAGUUAAAACUUUCAACAACGGAUCUCUUGGUUCUGGCAUCGAUGAAGAACGCAGCGAAAUGCGAUAAGUAAUGUGAAUUGCAGAAUUCAGUGAAUCAUCGAAUCUUUGAACGCACAUUGCGCCCAUUAGUAUUCUAGUGGGCAUGCCUGUUCGAGCGUCAUUUCAACCCUUAAGCCUCUGUUGCUUAGUGUUGGGAGCCUACAGCCCUCUGUAGCUCCCCAAAGUUAGUGGCGGAGUCGGUUCACACUCUAGACGUAGUAAAUUUUUAUCUCGCCUAUAGAUGAGCCGGCGCCUUGCCGUAAAACCCCCUAAUUUUUCACAAGGUUGACCUCGGAUCAGGUAGGAAUACCCGCUGAACUUAAGCAUAUCAUAGGAGCAAAAGAAACCAACAGGGAUUGCCCUAGUAACGGCGAGUGAAGCGGCAACAGCUCAAAUUUGAAAUCUGGCCCUCGGGUCCGAAUUGUAAUUUGUAGAGGAUGCUUUUGGUGAGGUACCUUCCGAGUUCCCUGGAACGGGACGCCAUAGAGGGUGAGAGCCCCGUCUGGUCGGAUACCGAUCCUCUGUAAAGCUCCUUCGACGAGUCGAGUAGUUUGGGAAUGCUGCUCUAAAUGGGAGGUAUAUGUCUUCUAAAGCUAAAUAUUGGCCAGAGACCGAUAGCGCACAAGUAGAGUGAUCGAAAGAUGAAAAGCACUUUGAAAAGAGAGUUAAAAAGUACGUGAAAUUGUUGAAAGGGAAGCGCUCAUGACCAGACUUGGGCUUGGUUGAUCAUCCAGGGUUCUCCCUGGUGCACUCUUCCAGCCCAGGCCAGCAUCAGUUCGCUGUGGGGGAUAAAGGCUUCGGGAAUGUGGCUCCUCCGGGAGUGUUAUAGCCCGCUGUGUAAUACCCUGUGGUGGACUGAGGUUCGCGCAUCUGCAAGGAUGCUGGCGUAAUGGUCAUCAGCGACCCGUC
Molecule: ribosomal RNA, 1162 nt
Filed under: Xylariaceae sp. CHTAE38
Lineage: Eukaryota; Fungi; Ascomycota; Sordariomycetes; Xylariales; Xylariaceae
Description: eukaryotic LSU rRNA
Rfam family: Eukaryotic large subunit ribosomal RNA (bases 540-1162)
Source: RNAcentral